CCUACGGGAGGCAGCAGUAAGGAAUCUUCCACAAUGGACGAAAGUCUGAUGGAGCAACGCCGCGUGCAGGAUGAAGGCUUUCGGGUCGUAAACUGCUUUUAUAUGGGAAGAUUAUGACGGUACCAUAUGAAUAAGGACCGGCUAACUACGUGCCAGCAGCCGCGGUAAUACGUAGGGUCCAAGCGAUAUCCGGAAUUACUGGGCGUAAAGCGUGUGUAGGUGGAUUAAUAAGUGUGAUGCGAAAUCCGGCGGCUCAACCGUUUGGACUGUGUCGCAUACUGUUAGUCUAGAGGACGGCAGAGGUAAGUGGAAUUACGGGUGUAGCAGUGAAAUGCGUAGAUAUCCGUAGGAACACCAAUGGCGAAGGCAGCUUACUGGGCCACACCUGACACUGAGACACGAAAGCGUGGGGAGCGAACAGGAUUAGAUACCCUGGUAGUCCACGCCGUAAACGAUGCAUACUAUUAGUAUGGGGUAUCGACCCCCUGUGCUGAGAAGCUAACGCGAUAAGUAUGCCGCCUGGGGAGGUACGAGCGCAAGCUUAAAACUACAAAUAGAGUAGAGCGNGAGACGNGCGACGACGACGACGAGGGAGGAGG
Molecule: ribosomal RNA, 599 nt
Filed under: uncultured bacterium
Lineage: Bacteria
Description: bacterial SSU rRNA
Rfam family: Bacterial small subunit ribosomal RNA
Source: RNAcentral